Long non-coding RNA from Mytilus trossulus (common blue mussel), 719 nucleotides. RefSeq lists it as uncharacterized. The transcript is spliced from 3 exons. NCBI's taxonomy places the organism in Eukaryota, Metazoa, Mollusca, Bivalvia, Mytilida, Mytilidae. The record is from RefSeq and is a predicted model, not a curated record.
AUGCGCAAGAAACGCCCACCGAAUUUCCUACUUUCAUUUUUGAAAAAUCUUCUAUUUGGAGAUAGAUUUGUACGCAUCUAUUUACAUUUUAUCUGCGAAAGAAAAUACACUUGCUCAGUUGCUGAAGUGGCUCUCUUUCUCGUCCUUAAGAGCACACAUAACUUCUAAAACGUAAAAAAAACAUGUGAAAGAAAAAGGAAACUAGAUAUUUGAGAGAUAGAAAAUAGAAGAAAAGGAAAAGGUUAAUCAAGAUUUAGUGCUGGCCACACAAUUAAGAAAGAAUAAGAACAAGAAUGUCUUUACAGAAUAGGGGAGACUAUUUUACUGCACUUAGAUUUGUGUUUUUGUUAUAAUUAACUGAUAUUGUAAUUUGUCCUUGGAUAAAAUAUCUGCAAUGUGGAGGACAACUGAACUGUGGUCUUGUAUAUUGAAGACCUACACUGAUUUAAAAUGCAUAAACUUUAUACUACUGGAAAAUGGUUAUCGUUAAAGUAACAAACACAGAAUUUAUUUACAUGUAUAAAAUGUUAUCUGAAAGGUGAAAGGUGAAAGUAAACAGAUUCCUGGUUGUUUGAAUACAAAUCAAAGCAGUUGUAUUGUGUAGUUAAGAAUAUAUUUACGUUGUUUAUGCAUUUAUAUAUUGGAAUAUUUAGAAUUGUACAAUAUGUUUAAUUUUCUGAAACCUUCGUUCUAUGUUAUGUAGGUUUGAUUUUCAUGAA